GACGAACGCUGGCGGCGUGCUUAACACAUGCAAGUCGAACGGAAAGGCCUCUUUCGGGGGGUACUCGAGUGGCGAACGGGUGAGUAACACGUGAGUAACCUGCCCUUGACUUUGGGAUAACUUCAGGAAACUGGGGCUAAUACCGGAUAGGAGCUCCUGCUGCAUGGUGGGGGUAGGAAAGUUUCGGCGGUUGGGGAUGGACUCGCGGCUUAUCAGCUUGUUGGUGGGGUAGUGGCUUACCAAGGCUUUGACGGGUAGCCGGCCUGAGAGGGUGACCGGCCACAUUGGGACUGAGAUACGGCCCAGACUCCUACGGGAGGCAGCAGUGGGGAAUAUUGCACAAUGGGUGGAAGCCUGAUGCAGCAACGCCGUGUGCGGGAUGACGGCCUUCGGGUUGUAAACCGCUUUCGCUCAUGACGAAGCUUUGUGUGACGGUAGUGGGUAAAGAAGCACCGGCUAACUACGUG
RNAcentral lists this ribosomal RNA (467 nucleotides) under uncultured bacterium. RNAcentral describes it as "partial 16S ribosomal RNA". It matches the Rfam family "Bacterial small subunit ribosomal RNA", at positions 28 to 507 of the family's 1533-position model. The record is from RNAcentral.